Molecule: ribosomal RNA, 233 nt
Filed under: uncultured bacterium
Lineage: Bacteria
Description: partial 16S ribosomal RNA
Rfam family: Bacterial small subunit ribosomal RNA
Source: RNAcentral
UGGGCAACCUGCCCCUCUCUCUGGGAUAACCCCGGGGAAACCGGAGCUAAUACCGGAUACUCCGGCUGGAUCGCAUGGUCCGGCCGGGAAAGGUCCGCCGGAGAGGGAUGGGCCCGCGGCCUAUCAGCUUGUUGGUGGGGUCAUGGCUCACCAAGGCGACGACGGGUAGCUGGUCUGAGAGGACGACCAGCCACACUGGAACUGAGAUACGGCCCAGACUCCUACGGGAGGCA